Molecule: ribosomal RNA, 390 nt
Filed under: uncultured bacterium
Lineage: Bacteria
Description: bacterial SSU rRNA
Rfam family: Bacterial small subunit ribosomal RNA
Source: RNAcentral
GACGAACGCUGGCGGCGUGCUUAACACAUGCAAGUCGAGCGGUAAGGCCCUUUCGGGGGUACACGAGCGGCGAACGGGUGAGUAACACGUGGGUGACCUGCCCUUAGCUCUGGGAUAAGCCUGGGGAACUGGGUCUAAUACCGGAUAUGACUCCAUGACGCAUGCUGUGGGGUGGAAAGCCUUGUGCGGCUAGGGAUGGGCCCGCGGCCUAUCAGCUUGUUGGUGGGGUGAUGGCCUACCAAGGCGACGACGGGUAGCCGGCCUGAGAGGGCGACCGGCCACACUGGGACUGAGACACGGCCCAGACUCCUACGGGAGGCAGCAGUGGGGAAUCUUGCGCAAUGGGCGAAAGCCUGACGCAGCGACGCCGCGUGGGGAUGACGGCCUCGG